GAUGAACGCUGGCGGCGUGCCUAAUACAUGCAAGUCGAGCGAACGGACGAGAAGCUUGCUUCUCUGAUGUUAGCGGCGGACGGGUGAGUAACACGUGGAUAACCUACCUAUAAGACUGGGAUAACUUCGGGAAACCGGAGCUAAUACCGGAUAAUAUUUUGAACCGUAUGGUUCAAUAGUAAAAGACGGUCUUGCUGUCACUAAUAGAUGGAUCCGCGCUGCAUUAGCUAGUUGGUAAGGUAACGGCUUACCAAGGCAACGAUGCAUAGCCGACCUGAGAGGGUGGUCGGCCACCCUGGAAGUGAGACACGGUCCAGACUCCUACGGGAGGCAGCAGUAGGGAAUCUUACGCAAUGGGCGAAAGCCUGACGGAGCAACGCCGCGUGAGUGAUGAAGGUCUUCGGAUCGUAAAGCUCUGUUAUUAGGGAAGAACAUAUGUGUAAGUAACUGUGCACAUCUUGACGGUACCUAAUCAGAAAGCCACGGCUAACUACGUG
RNAcentral lists this ribosomal RNA (497 nucleotides) under uncultured bacterium. RNAcentral describes it as "partial 16S ribosomal RNA". It matches the Rfam family "Bacterial small subunit ribosomal RNA", at positions 28 to 507 of the family's 1533-position model. The record is from RNAcentral.